GUGCGAUAACCUCGCUCGGUAGGAUUUUUCUAAGGCGGAAGCUAUGCCCGAUUUCGUAUCGGUGCGUGGCCGCUCGACUCUCUGUAGAGCCGUGGCGUUUCCUCGCACCGUAUUUUCUAAUUCAAAUCGGUAACCUCAAAAUUUAUUUUCCCUUCCAGACCUGUUGAGUCAGUUCCGUUUUCUUGUCGCGAGUGCAGUGUUCGUUCAAACCGCGUCAUGGUUUAACUUGUCUGCCUCGCCCGUGCCACGCCACGCCGUGCCGGGCAGGCUGUGUCCGUUACGUUCUAACUGCGUCAUGUCUGUACUUGUCGCCGGCCGACCAGCGUGUCCGUUUGUCCGGCGCGCGCUUCUCGGAAUCGCGCCACGCCACGCCGUGUUAUGGCUGGCUGUGUUGCGCCGCGCUGUAGAUUGAGUCCUGAUGUCUCGUUCAUGCUCGCCGUCAUGCUCCCCGUGUCCCCGCCUCGUUUGAGGCGUUUCCGCGAGCGUGGGAAACCUUUCCCGCCGGCGGCCGGGCGCAGUCAGCUGACUGCCGCGCCGACUCGCUCUCUCUCGCACCUCAGACUGGCUGACAGCUAGUCGCGCCCCCUCCCCUGCAGUGUACCGGCGCUGCGCAUUGCAGCGCCGCCGGGCCGGGCCGGGGGUUCGAAUCCCAGCCGUGUCUCGCGUCGCGCUCGGUAUAGUUAGUCUUCCUGGUGAUGUAAAGUUCGUCCGAGUGGGUGGGUGGAGUGACGCUGCCAUGUCUGCGUCUGUGUAAGUCGCCUGCCUUGCGCAGCCUAUUAGUGCUUGCUUCUGAAAUUCUCGCUAAAGCAUGUGUUUUGCUUUCUUGAAGUUUUUGAAGCUUUCCCUCUCAGUGUACGUCUCCACGUGUAUUCCACUUUUUUCUGUGCUAAAGAAAUGUGAAUACAGUUUGAAUCGUACACCGUGUUUUCGCACGCCAAUAUCUGCGGUUCCACAGUGAACGGCCGAUAAUGGCACGCGAUUUUCUUUAUGCUUUUGCCGUGAAACUAAUCGUUUCUUUACCCUUAAUGGUUUCAGUCCUCAUCUUGUGAAGAUGACAACCCCGUCCCCGUCGGCACCGGCCCCCCAGCAGGGGAUGAUGAUGCGGCCAGACAUGCUUGGGAACCUACACGCCCACCUUCGCAAGCCGAUGUUGCACCAGUUGCUGAGGAGGUGCCUGCACCACCAGCCGAGUGGCUGCCGCCCCUGCCCCCCGGCACCCCUCCACCGGCUGCCCCUCUCCCAGAGCUGCCCCUGCGCCCGGGCUUCCCGAGGGACGAGCCAGCUGAGGAUCCAGAGAAGGAGAACCAGUCAUGCCCUGCUCUAGAGUUUAUGGCCGAGUGGGUGGCGCAGUGCCAAAUGCCGCCUCCCCCGCCGCCACAACCUGCUGCUGCAGGGCCAGUGAUAGCACGGCGUGUCCCCCUCCAUCCGCUUCCGCCCUACAAGGAUGAUGGGGAACUCUUUCCAAAGCAAUCAUGCAAAUGAAAGUGUGCAAACCAUUGUUUCUGGUCUUGAAGAUGUGAAUGAAGGUGGAAGGAAAUUCAUUGAAUGUGUCUGAAAGGGUCAUGGAUGUUUCAUUUUCUGUUGAAAGUAUUGGUGUGAGUAACAGUGGUGGGACAGUGACAUCUUUGAAUGGUACUGGUAAUGUUGGAAAUUCAUGCAGUUGUUCUAAAGCUGGUUCGAUUUCGUAAGUUUUUUCUGUUUGAAAAAAACUGUUUGAGUGUGUCACAUGAAUGAUUAAAGGAAGUGUAACAUUUUGCUGU
RNAcentral lists this long non-coding RNA (1760 nucleotides) under Thrips palmi. RNAcentral describes it as "uncharacterized LOC117643641". Lineage: Eukaryota; Metazoa; Arthropoda; Insecta; Thysanoptera; Thripidae. The record is from RNAcentral.